UUUCCUUUACUUGUGAAUACAAUUGUUUCCAAAGUACAUAAUAAGCUUCACCGACUAUAUAUCUUCCAUUAUGCUCCGGCUAUCGGUUAUACUCAACUAUUCUUAACUGGAAAUUGAAAACCUAUAAUAAGGAUCCUUUCGACUAAUGUUACCAUAGAAGUAAUUCAAAAACGCGCGCGCUACGGCUCUCGCUCUCGGCGCGUUCGAUUCUCACGUAGUGCCCAUAGUGCGUCCAUUCUAUCGACCAUAUGUUCCGUGAAGUGCUGCUGUAGUGGUACAGUGAAAGUGUUGAAGUGUCGAAUCAAACACUUCCCAUUUUUGCAACGUGAUUUUUCCAGUGCAGAUUUGUACAGAUGUAAGCGAUAGAGCCCCACAAGUGUAUAGUUGGCCACGUGAGUGGGCCAAACACCCGCUCCGGAACUUGUUUUUGUAGAACAAGGGACUAAAAUUGUCAGCCCUCUCAUGAUUGCAAAAAGCACUACUGCUUUAUUCCUCUAUAUUAUUCUUUCUCUUACUUCUUACUCAGUGGUUCACAGUUUUCCAUUGUUGACCGCAUUCAUCAUUUUGGCCAGUUGCAAAAAAGCUAGUGAGUAUUGUGUAUAUAUUGUAAAAUUGUCCAUUUUAUCCCAAAACUGCACAUCAACAUUUGUUGUGAUCAAUAGAACUCAGAACGAUACUCCGAUUUAUCUCCAGCCCUGCAAGAUUAGUGGGUGGUCUGAUUUCACAUCGAUUAGCUUGGUUAGUAGUAUUUGCUUACCAGCGCCAAUGCCAUAAACGAAUUUGAAUCGAGCUCAAUAAAAGUGACGGAACUGGCCAUGCUCAAACGAUCCAAUGAGGUGAAGAAAAAAAUAGGUGAACUACCUGGCAGAAAGCUUCCUUCAAUCGAAGCAGCUCUAUUGUGCGUAAAAGUACAUAAUCAUCAUCAUCAUCAGGUGCGGUAAUGCGGAGCCAAAAAUAGUAUCCUCUUUGUCAGCAUUGGUGCUCACACAUUUAGUUUGAAUAGAUUUGCCUGCAAUGAAAGAAGAUUACGAGUAUAUAAGGUCAUCGAAUUUAUCAUCUCAACGGUAUCAAUAGAAGAAAUCGAAAUUCUCACGUCGCUGUCUGCAGUGAAUAGUCGAUUACAUAACGCUAGUGACUACAAGCUGAUCUCGUUGCUGACGAAAUCCCAUCAUAUCUAAUCAAUUCAAAUUAUGGGACAGACUCUGUAACCGAACUAGAUGAACAACAUCGUAUAGUCAUUAAACCAAAUCAUCGUGCUUUCAAAAAAACGACCGAAUACUGGAUAGUUCAGGUGUGAAUAAUUUAGUUAUUUGUUGAUCGGUGGGAGGCUCGGAGAACCUCUGCUCAUAGCAGCAAUGAAUCAACCCAGCAUCGGCGACAAACUGGCUCUCACCGGAAAGGUGACGGAAUUAAAGCUGGGUAAAAGCUUCGAUUCGGGAGUGAAUCAAAUGAAUCCAGCCUUUCAUACUUUCCGAUACGAUUUCAAGCCGGCUUCUGUGGAUCCGACACAGAUGGCCCGCGUUGACGUUGAGCAGCGAAAUCAAGUAUCUGUAACUGUGCCUCACCACGAUUCCAACGCAUCCACCGUUUUUCGAGGGGGUCAGCGUCCAUACCAAAAAGAAUGCGUCCUUAUCAUAGACCAUCGAACUGGUGAAGUUACUCUGGAAAAGUUAAGCUGCAAUGUUCAACUUAAGAAGACUCGUGCUGAAGGUUCGUCAAAGGUAUCUCUCAGCGCGCAACUUGGAGGCGCAGGUCCUGCAAGCCAUGGUAGACCUCUUACUCCAAGUACAGCUGGACAACAGCAAAGUGGGCAGCUAUUAUCGGGCGGUCAAAGCAACGAUGGAGUCGAUCAGUUAAAUUGCAAAAUGAAGCGGCCUUCGCCUCCAAUGCCUCCGCAAAGAGCCCAUAUGAGCUCCCCGGUUAAUAGUGGGACUGGCAAGCAACGAAUCAGUCCUGCCGCCGGAUCUGCAAGUAGUAGUAACGUGACGAGUUUACAACAGUCAGUCGGAUCUUCUUCAAAGCAGGGUAAUAAAGGUGGAAGUCCAGGAAGUACGAAUUCUAUUUCGGCUCGCCGACCACCAUCUACGUUGUCUUCUAAUUCCAUGCCAAUGUUCUUUGAUGAUACGGGCAGGUUUGAUGAUGUCGGUGGUCAGCAGCCACCAACGGCAAAUCAAGGAUCAGGUGGUCACGGCCUUUAUGGUGGUCGAUCGGGUGGUGGAUCGUUCCAGUCAUCAAUGCCAUUACCACCUGACUCGAAUACGGAGGUGGUAGAAAUGUCAGAAGGUUCCUCAUCUUCAUCAUCCUCAUCAGGAAGUUCGUCAGAAGCUUCCGAUUCUGAAAGUGAAUCAGACACCCACGCCGCUAAAAGGCUUUCUAAUAGUGCAAGCGUUGUGCCUUCGGUGCCGACGUUGCCUACAACAAGUAGUAGCAGUGGGGGAUAUGGAAAUCAUUCCGGUGGAAGUCAUUCUACAUCUCAUGCAUCACAUCCGCCUCCAAGUGCUACCACUCCGAAGGGAUCGAUGCCAAAACUCAGUCAACUUAGUAAAUGUCAACUUAGUGAGGACCUUCAACUCAGUGAGUCUGGAAGUGAUUCAGACUAGGCCCGCCAAUGUUCGACGAAUUGUGGAUAUUCAAUAGUACGCUUCAAUAGUAAACAGUGGCGCUUCACGAGCGCUCGCCAUAAAGUUUUUUCUGUCGUUAGACCAACGAACUGCGAAUUCCUUAAGUUUGUUCAGAGCGCCGCUUCAACCAAUAAAACUAAGCAUCUACAAAUAAAGUAUAUUUGUAUCAACUCAACUGUGUGCGGCUUGUGUGCCAGUUUGACUGCUGCUGCUGUUCAACACUUUGUCGUUGACUUGAUAAAUAUAAAAGCAUAACGGCCCGCUGUUUUGUGUUGGGAACCUCCGCCCUAUUCCAAUUCCCUUCGGAUUUUGUAUACAAUCAACAGUGCGCAUAAGUCGAUGUGAAAUGCCUCUUGCAAAAGGCGGCAAUAGGUGUUUCCUGUUUUUUAAAUCUUACUGCACAGUUCAAAUGCUUCCUCUGCUACUACUACUUGUUUCUGGUAGUAACUCCGGUUGAUUUGACGGCGGGCGUGGCCCGCUUAGACUAGCUCGGCUUUCCUGCAUUCCGUCAAAUGAAUUCGUCCUUUUUACUGUGGCGCAGCAAAAAUUGCGUUCAUCUGACCGCUAUGCUGCGCCCUUCAAUACACUAUUCGGGAGGCGGCUGCUGCUGUUUGGGGACAUACCGUACACGUCGUCCGAAUGCGCUAUGAUCGAUCGGCCCGCAUCGCAUAUCCGUACAGGAUGAAGAUAAUUCGUGCGAUUUUCAGAAACGGUGUCCCGAGGACUGUCCCGCUUGGGCUCGCCAUGACGAUUCGUUAGAAGGUGACACAUCCGCUUUUCGAAUGUCGCUGAUGGAUCAGGCCGUCUAAAGCCUCGUCGCGGAUCUGUAAUAAUGGUGCCAUAUAUCCUCCAAACUACGAUGCAUUGCAGACGCAGCCCGUAGGGGCAAUAAACGAACGAAAUUAGCAACAAUAUACGUUAUGAAGAUUGAGCCUACCCAAAUAAAAAGUGCAAAUUCUUCCACGACCUUUAAGUGUUAUGCAAUAGAGCAUAAAAGGUAGGUUAAAGAAAUCAGCUUUGAUCAAAUUAACACAGUUUAGGCGCACUUUAUCUGAACUUAGGUAUAAAACUAUUAUGGAUGGAAGUAUUAGCUUGGCCUUAACUCUUACAGAAAUUAAUAAUUUUUUUAUAAUUAAUAUCACAUAGUUUGGCAUUGCACGAAAACCAACUGCUUCAGUAUCUCCAAGAUAUUUAGAGAGAAAGAAAGAGAACCAUCUUUGCUAGCGAAUCUGCUGAUACAACGACAUUUUACGAUGGCACAUAUGGUAGUUUUCUGAACUAGGUACGCUUUAGAUGAGUUUAAAUGUAGAACAAUAUAUAAUAAUAAUAAUAAUGUAAUUAAUAUUACAUCACAUUUAGGAUCAUGCACGUUCAGUUGCGCAGCGACGGGGUUGCCCCCCACUUUAGGUACCGAAAGAAGCGCCUAAUGUUCGGAUAUUAGUCCAUUAUUAUCCGUUUAGCGGCCGUCAGCUGUAAAGGAGGGCUUGUAAAGGGCACCCCAUUUCCUAGAAAUAAUGGUUUCGUUCUUGAAGGCAGAGCAUUCCAAUAAAAAAGGUUUCUGCUAUUUGGUCUAGCCCUUGACCAUGCAGCGUUUGUAGGUGAGGAAGACUCCACCCAGCAAUCAGCUGAGAGGAAAAACCUCUCGACCUUUCCAUCGCAGGAGAAGGAAUCUCGGGCGUCAAUCUAUGCGAGGCAAAGGGCUACUUGGUAUUGUCACCGCCCAGCUUACGUUUUCAUACAUCGUUCGCUUGCUUUUUCGCCUCAGUUUUUAUUCAGCUUCCUCCCAAGAAAGGAGCAAUUCUUCUGACGCGUUUAGUAGCUCGACCAAAGGAAGAGCCACGAUUCAACCAUUUACAUCCUCUACGAGCGAGAGAAAUUGAAGCAUCACUGAUAAAACAACAGACGCCCAAGUAACCCGCUUGCGGGAAUAGAGCGUAUUUGCAACGUAAGCCGAUCAUAUGCUUGACCGCCUUGGACCUAAUUUAUAGCAAAACGAUGACUAUGGCCGGCCAACUACCGAGUGGCGUAGAAUCACUAAUUCGUAGCAGCGCAGGCAGCUGAGCAAAAUACUUUUAAGCCUUGAUAGCCGAAUGAUUCGAAAAGAGAUGAUGCCAUCAUAGCAGUUAAUGGUGGUGUUGGUGAUGAUGACGGUGAUAAUAUUACGCGAUGCAGCACACCGUUUGUGAAGUGCCACGAUUUCUGAUUGAGCUUAUAGAGCUUGUUCGAGACGAACGCUUUACGUGAGCUUCGCUUCUGGCUUAGAUCAGUGUAGCUAACAACAGGGGUCAUCGAUGGUUACCGCAGCUUCGACACUUGCUUACUUGAAGGUUCAUUAAGACAUAGAAUAGAGCCGACGUACACAUACAUACACAUAAGUGCAUACAAUCCGACUCUGCCUUUACGUCGCACAUCAACAACGAGUGAAGUUUCACACCCGAAAUCGCCCCAACGACCUUUAAUACGAUAAACGGAGCCGAGCUAACUCUGUUGCUCAACUGCAAAGAAGUUUUUCUCUGAUGUGUCACUAUGGUGUCAACUAUCGCAGGAAAAUGUAUCGUGAUGGUCUUAAGCAGCAGGUUACUGGUGAACCAUAAUAAAACUAGCGACAUAUUGAAGAUGUUCAGAGACCGCUAUAAAAUCAAUUGAGUGCCAACUCCGUUACUUUCACUCUACUUGACAAUUCGUUUGUACACUGGUUUGUAGCAUUUUCGAAAACUGCAGUGUCACAGUCCGCCGAGUGUAUAUGCACGUAAAAAUGCACGCGCAUACAGCUCUGAUUCGAUAAGUAGCAGGAAUAGCUUCGACUAGUACAAAACGAUACUCAAUGUAAUCGAAUGAUAACUCGUAGUUUGACUUAUCGCAUACUGAAUUAUCCGUCGUUAUUGAACGCGCUAAAGCGUUGGAAGCGUCUUUUCCAUGACGCGCACUGUUCCACAUAUAUACGAAUCAUUGAAAAAGAUCUAUAUAGAAAUUCGUUGCGUUCUCAUUUGACUGGCGAUCGAUUUUAGAUUAAAACGGGAUCGCUUAGAAUGCUCGGCUUUUUGAAAGAAAAUAUCAGUCAGCUUAUCGAAAAUAGCAACUUUAAUGUUACUCUAAGGUACAGAAUUGUAGAUAGUCUAUACAUUCUAUAAUUUCUACAUAGAUCUAUAUAUUAAGUACUGCAUACACUAUAUAUCUACUCAUAGGUAUACUUGACAUAUGUAUAUUUGAAACAAAGCCAUAUUUUACGAAGAGGUCGAGAUAACGCAUCGAAUUACAAUGUGACACGAAAUAGAGGAGCUCCUAUUGUGAGGGACGGAUGCAUUUCAAAGAAGCCCCUGGAAUACUCGUGUAUUUGGGUAGAAAGCUGUCCUGCUAAUAGCUUAGCGGGAAUUGACCAAGUAUCAGUGCGGGUAACACCAACCAAAUUGAAUACUGUGAUUCAUAAAUGCUGCUAACUGAAAUUAAUCCCUUAUAGAUCUGGAAUAGAGCGUUAUAUAUUCGAUAGAAACGGGGUAUUGUUUGUGUGGGCGAACAUAAACCAGCGCUGUUGUCGUUGCCUCUAUGCUCGUGGUGUGUAUACUACGGCGACAAUCAUUGUGAAUAUUCUGGAUCAAAUGAGGAACGCCAUACAAGAUCGACAAAUUGUGAUCGGUGGAACUCUGUAUGCGGUUUUUUUACAAAACAGCAUGCAUAAAAGAAAUUAAAUAAAGUAGAAGAAGAAAAAAAUUAAGAAACGAUGGCCCGCCGAAUCCACGACUGUUUCGACGUGUGCUGCGAUCCAAUACGAGGCGGCGUGUACAAUGUCGGCUGAAGGUGUGGCAUGCGAUUUCGCCCGAAGCUUUUCGUCCGGCCGAUACUACGACGAUGACGAGCACCGUGGAGAUGCGCGUCUUCUCAAAAUAUAGUGACCCGAUACAGGCAGCUCCUUCUUCGCAUUCAAUCCAUACCACAACGGGCUGGCCGGCUGGCUAUCUAGCUCAUUACAUCAAUCAAACCUGCUCUGUUAUGGAGUCUACGUACGAUCUAAGUACAAACGACCAGCAUAACCAAUGCGUAGAGUCUAUUCUAUGCAAGUUGAGUGUGAAACUCUGCUCCCGCCGAUUCGACCUAUUCCGACUGGCGCCACUGCUCACUAAUUCUCAAUUCCUCAGUCCAGAUCUUAAUUUAAAUGGGACGACGAUCUGUUGUUGCUCAGCCAUAGCUUCACGAAGGGUUCUUUUUAUUUCAAGACCUAUUUUGCCUGAGGGCUGAAUUCGCCAGAUGCAGCCAUCUCCAGAUCUGCAGUGCACGAAUAGGCAUAUUCAACUGACAUGACUGAAAAGGGCGAUCGUAUUUUCGUUGGAAGGCCGCAGCUCUGCUUGGAUGGGUUGUUGGAAACGAUGAGCUUUAACCGGGGGACCCACAAGACCCAUUCGAGAAAUAAAUUCGGCAAGCCAUGCUGUAAAAGCUUUUACAUUUUUGGGACUUUUAGCCAGCUGCCAGCCCAAAAUUUAAUUGCGUUGAAAUUUUUCAUAUAUGGCGCAUUCGAACGAUAGUUUAACGAUCUUAUAUCAAAUAUAUAUCACUUGACGCACGGUUACCAUUAAAAAGUUUUCUGCGGACUGAUGAAAGAAGAUUUUGAAAAUUACUAUGGGGUGGUUUAGCUUGUAAAUUAAGGCUAUUACCGUGGAAAAUAAUGGUUAUAUUGAAUAAACAUGGUCGCUAAAGGCUUUUAGUACAUGCAAACAUUGAAAAGUUGUUUUUGUUCUAAUAUGGCUACAGAUACAAGUGGUAAAAAAUUCUCACUUGCGACAUUAUUUCAGCCAUUUUGAACUGUUAAAUGCUGCGAUUGAUUUCAAGCGGCCUAUCUAAGAUGGCUUCCUUGCUGUAGCACGAAAAAGCAUGAAUGGAAAAAAGCUUUACGAAGGAUUACUUCAACACUGUGCGUUUGAUAAAAGAACGCCCGUUUUUACGCGGAGAGCCAAAUCGUCGAGUGUUUCAAGCUCUCAAUGCAGUAUAAAUUCGCUUUUGUCAAGACAUUUUGCUAGGCUACCUGUGGUGCGUAAAUUCCAAAGAGUGGCAUAAUACGUAAAAGACGGAUUUGGUUAGAACGUAUUUUUGUUUGGCGUGCUACUACUAUAUAAGGCCCCUAAUACACUUGCACAAAGAGAGUCAAUUAAUGAUGAUUGAGUAAAACUCAUCUUGGUGGUAGCGUCGGCUAUGUGCUGCCAGAUGAUUGACUGCAGUUAUCUCUGUGAAUAGGCAAGCCCAAGGAUCCAGCCUCUGGAUCACUAUAUUUAGUAUUUAUAAUUGUCUUAAUAAUUAUGUGAUUUACUAUUUAAUAAUGUUUUAUUUAAUAAUGAAAAGUUGAGUGAAGAAUUGUGUCCGGCGGCCACGUAGCGUACGGAGCCAAGCGCGCGCACCCCACCAUUGCUGCGGUAGUAUCCACAAAAACAGUAUGAUGAAUGCGCAAAAAUAAGCAUAUUGUCAAAUGUUGUAUCACAAAAUGUCCGACUAUAGUUUGAGAUUAAUCUAUGCUGGAAAAAGUGAUACUAGUUUAUACAAUAUAGGAAGUUACUAUUCUCAUCAGUUUAUUGUAUAUGAAGUCGGGCACAAAUAUCUAAAGGUUCUGACGAAGGCAUGCAAGCGCUGGCACAAUAUGUGGCAAGCGACAAAAAGCGAAGGCUCGUCUUUUUCGCUAACUGAGCUGUUGACGUGGUGUGUUUUUGCCUUAAUCUUGCUGAAAUAGAAUUUAACGGCAGGCAAAGGUAUGCAUUACCAUAUUCUCUAUAAGCGCAAAAUACGUUGUUCCAAGAAUUUCUAGGUUUACACGUUAAUAUUCUACACCUAUUACUGGUGACUUUUAAGUCUAGAACUUUGGAAAAUAAGGUUUACCAAAGCAUAUUAUUGGGAGAAUGAGCACCUUUGGUUUCACUGAGUUUUUAAGCAUCAUUAAAUUACGUUUGUUAAGAAGAAGAAAUUAAGUUGAGUAAGGACAUUUACAAUCUGGAGAUAAGUUCAAAGACUAUUUACCACCAGUAAUACGUUCCGUUGAGCUCUAUCUGCUAGCAUGAUUAAGCAACCACAUUACCGUUGUUAUUCUCCAAGGGCGGGUAGUGUGAUGAUGACUGUUGAAGUGUUUAUAUUUAUGAAAAUAUUAAUAAACAUAACUGUUUUAUGUAUAUCUAAUCCAUGAUCACAAAUAUUAUAUUACCGAAAUACAUAUUAUAUAGAUAUUUUUAGCUAUCUAAAGCUU
Non-coding RNA from Varroa destructor (honeybee mite), 8838 nucleotides. NCBI's taxonomy places the organism in Eukaryota, Metazoa, Arthropoda, Arachnida, Mesostigmata, Varroidae. The record is from RefSeq and is a predicted model, not a curated record.